This 497-nucleotide long non-coding RNA is filed under the name Trifolium pratense (red clover). Its description in RNAcentral is "long non-coding RNA (TPRA_LNC010231)". Lineage: Eukaryota; Viridiplantae; Streptophyta; Magnoliopsida; Fabales; Fabaceae. The record is from RNAcentral.
GUUUCAAUGAAGAAUAAACAAGCAAAAUAUGGGGAAAAUUGAAAGAACAGCAGAUGUUCAACAAGCAUAAAUUUACAACGGAAAUUGGACUAAUUGAAACAAUAGUAGAACAGGAAAAACAACAAGUUGAUUAAAAAAAGACUUGGCUGAUGCUACAAUUUGAAUCCUUAAGCUGAGUGAGGACUGAGAAGUAUCAUAUCCUCAAAAUACUGAGCUCGUGUAUAUCCAUUCCUGCAUUAGAACCAAUUGAAACUUUUGUACUUAUUAUAACAUCACUAUGAAUCCCACAAUUUGAUUUCUCUAAUAUUUCAUAUGUUGAAAAUUUAUAGGCUUAACUACACAUUUUGAUCCCUUACGUUUAUUUUAGGUUUUAAUUUGGUCUCUUACGUUUAAAAAGUAUCAAUUUUGUCCCUUACGUUUAUUUUAGGUUUCAAGUUAGUCAUUUCCGUUAGUUUUGCCACUAACACCGUUUGAACAGUAUACGCGUCAGUGUGUCC